This 126-nucleotide unclassified non-coding RNA is filed under the name uncultured Hypocreales. Its description in RNAcentral is "sequence contains ITS1". The record is from RNAcentral. Lineage: Eukaryota; Fungi; Ascomycota; Sordariomycetes; Hypocreales.
CCGAGUUUUCAACUCACCAACCCACUGUGAACAUACCUACGUUGCUUCGGCGGCGGGCUUCGGCCCCCGCCGGGGACCCAAACACUAUUUUUAACCGAUACCUCUGAGUAAAAAACAAAUAAAUCA